RNAcentral lists this unclassified non-coding RNA (137 nucleotides) under uncultured fungus. Its description in RNAcentral is "sequence contains ITS1, 5.8S rRNA gene". Lineage: Eukaryota; Fungi. The record is from RNAcentral.
CCGAGUUUACAACUCCCAAACCCACUGUGGACCUUACCUAUCGUUGCUUCGGCGGGCGGCCGCGCGCUGCCUGCCGGGGGCCCGAGACUCUCUAUUUUAAUGAUGUUUCUCUCUGAGUGGCAUAAGAAAUGAAAUCA